Small nuclear RNA from Heteronotia binoei (common prickly gecko), 111 nucleotides. NCBI's taxonomy places the organism in Eukaryota, Metazoa, Chordata, Lepidosauria, Squamata, Gekkonidae. The record is from RefSeq and is a predicted model, not a curated record.
GCGCUCGCUUCGGCAACACAUACACCAAAAUUGGAACGAUACAGAGAAGAUUAGCAUGGCCCCUGCGCAAGGGGGAAAAAAUAUUUCUCCUGACUUGGAAGACCAGUUAUU